This 472-nucleotide ribosomal RNA is filed under the name uncultured bacterium. RNAcentral describes it as "partial 16S ribosomal RNA". It matches the Rfam family "Bacterial small subunit ribosomal RNA", at positions 30 to 507 of the family's 1533-position model. The record is from RNAcentral.
AGUGAACGCUGGCGGUAGGCCUAACACAUGCAAGUCGAACGGCAGCACAGUAAGAGCUUGCUCUUACGGGUGGCGAGUGGCGGACGGGUGAGGAAUACAUCGGAAUCUACUUUUUCGUGGGGGAUAACGUAGGGAAACUUACGCUAAUACCGCAUACGACCUACGGGUGAAAGCAGGGGAUCUUCGGACCUUGCGCGAUUGAAUGAGCCGAUGUCGGAUUAGCUAGUUGGCGGGGUAAAGGCCCACCAAGGCGACGAUCCGUAGCUGGUCUGAGAGGAUGAGCGGCAAGAUCGGGACUGAGAUACGGACCAGAAGCGUACGGGAGGCAGCAGUGGGGAAUAUUGCACAAUGGGCGGAAGCAGGAUGCAGCAACGCCGCGUGCGGGAUGACGGCUUGCGGGGUGUAAACAGCAUUCGCCUGUGACGAAGCGUGAGGGACGGUAAUGGGUAAAGAAGCACCGGCUAACUACGUG